Molecule: ribosomal RNA, 610 nt
Filed under: uncultured fungus
Lineage: Eukaryota; Fungi
Description: SSU rRNA
Rfam family: Eukaryotic small subunit ribosomal RNA
Source: RNAcentral
CGCGCUGUUCUAUUUUGUUGGUUUCUAGGACCGCCGUAAUGAUUAAUAGGGACAGUCGGGGGCAUCAGUAUCAAUUGUCAGAGGUGAAAUUCUUGGAUUUAUUGAAGACUAACUACUGCGAAAGCAUCUGCCAAGGAUGUUUUCAUUAAUCAGGAACGAAAGUUGGGGGAUCGAAGACGAUCAGAUACCGUCGUAGUCUUAACCGUAAACGAUGCCNACUAGGGAUCGGACGGUGUUAUUACUUGACCCGUUCGGCACCUUACGAGAAAUCAAAGUGCUUGGGCUCCAGGGGGAGUAUGGUCGCAAGGCUGAAACUUAAAGAAAUUGACGGAAGGGCACCACCAGGGGUGGAGCCUGCGGCUUAAUUUGACUCAACACGGGGAAACUCACCAGGUCCAGACACAAUGAGGAUUGACAGAUUGAGAGCUCUUUCUUGAUUUUGUGGGUGGUGGUGCAUGGCCGUUCUUAGUUCGUGGGGUGACUUGGCAGUUUAAUUACGAUAACGAACGAGACCUUAACCUACUAACUAGCCCGUAUUGCUUUGGCAGUACGCUGGCUUCUUAGAGGGACUCUCGGUGCAAGCCGAGGGAAGUUUGAGGCAAUAACAGGU